UACGUAGGGGGCAAGCGUUGUCCGGAAUCAUUGGGCGUAAAGCGCGUGUAGGCGGCCAGAAAAGUCCGCUGUGAAAACCCGAGGCUCAACUUCGAGCUGUCGGUGGAAACUUUCUGGCUAGAGUCCGGAAGAGGAGAAUGGAAUUCCUGGUGUAGCGGUGAAAUGCGCAGAUAUCAGGAAGAACACCCGUGGCGAAGGCGGUUCUCUGGGCCACUACUGACGCUGAGAAGCGAAAGCAUGGGGAGCGAACAGG
This 253-nucleotide ribosomal RNA is filed under the name uncultured bacterium. Its description in RNAcentral is "partial 16S ribosomal RNA". It matches the Rfam family "Bacterial small subunit ribosomal RNA", at positions 524 to 776 of the family's 1533-position model. The record is from RNAcentral.